AUUGAACGCUGGCGGAAUGCUUUACACAUGCAAGUCGAACGGCAGCACGGACUUCGGUCUGGUGGCGAGUGGCGAACGGGUGAGUAAUGUAUCGGAACGCGCCCAGUCGUGGGGGAUAACGUAGUGAAAAUUACGCUAAUACCGCAUACGAUCUAUGGAUGAAAGCGGGGGAUCGCAAGACCUCGCGCGAUUGGAGCGGCCGAUAUCAGAUUAGGUAGUUGGUGGGGUAAAGGCCCACCAAGCCAACGAUCUGUAGCUGGUCUGAGAGGACGACCAGCCACACUGGAACUGGGACACGUUCCAGACUCCUACGGGAGGCAGCAGUGGGGAAUUUUGGACAAUGGGCGAAAGCCUGAUCCAGCCAUUCCGCGUGCAGGAUGAAGGCCCUCGGGUUGUAAACUGCUUUUGUACAGAACGAAAAGGUUUCUACUAAUACUAGGAGCUCAUGACGGUACUGUAAGAAUAAGCACCGGCUAACUACGUGCCAGCCGCCGCGGUAA
RNAcentral lists this ribosomal RNA (500 nucleotides) under uncultured bacterium. RNAcentral describes it as "partial 16S ribosomal RNA". It matches the Rfam family "Bacterial small subunit ribosomal RNA", at positions 30 to 523 of the family's 1533-position model. The record is from RNAcentral.